RNAcentral lists this ribosomal RNA (407 nucleotides) under uncultured Actinomadura sp. RNAcentral describes it as "bacterial SSU rRNA". It matches the Rfam family "Bacterial small subunit ribosomal RNA", at positions 355 to 774 of the family's 1533-position model. The record is from RNAcentral. Lineage: Bacteria; Bacillati; Actinomycetota; Actinomycetes; Streptosporangiales; Thermomonosporaceae.
UGGGGAAUAUUGCGCAAUGGGCGGAAGCCUGACGCAGCGACGCCGCGUGAGGGAUGACGGCCUUCGGGUUGUAAACCUCUUUCAGCAGGGACGAAGCUAACGUGACGGUACCUGCAGAAGAAGCGCCGGCUAACUACGUGCCAGCAGCCGCGGUAAUACGUAGGGCGCAAGCGUUGUCCGGAAUUAUUGGGCGUAAAGAGCUCGUAGGCGGUUUGUCGCGUCUGUCGUGAAAGCCCACGGCUUAACCGUGGGUCUGCGGUGGAUACGGGCAGACUAGAGGCAGGUAGGGGAGAAUGGAAUUCCCGGUGUAGCGGUGAAAUGCGCAGAUAUCGGGAGGAACACCGGUGGCGAAGGCGGUUCUCUGGGCCUGUACUGACGCUGAGGAGCGAAAGCGUGGGGAGCGAACA